GACGAACGCUGGCGGCGUGCUUAACACAUGCAAGUCGAACGGAAAGGCCCUGCUUUUGUGGGGUGCUCGAGUGGCGAACGGGUGAGUAACACGUGAGUAACCUGCCCUUGACUUUGGGAUAACUUCAGGAAACUGGGGCUAAUACCGGAUAGGAGCUCCUGCUGCAUGGUGGGGGUUGGAAAGUUUCGGCGGUUGGGGAUGGACUCGCGGCUUAUCAGCUUGUUGGUGGGGUAGUGGCUUACCAAGGCUUUGACGGGUAGCCGGCCUGAGAGGGUGACCGGCCACAUUGGGACUGAGAUACGGCCCAGACUCCUACGGGAGGCAGCAGUGGGGAAUAUUGCACAAUGGGCGGAAGCCUGAUGCAGCAACGCCGCGUGCGGGAUGACGGCCUUCGGGUUGUAAACCGCUUUCGCCUGUGACGAAGCGUGAGUGACGGUAAUGGGUAAAGAAGCACCGGCUAACUACGUGCCAGCAGCCGCGGUGAUACGUAGGGUGCGAGCGUUGUCCGGAUUUAUUGGGCGUAAAGGGCUCGUAGGUGGUUGAUCGCGUCGGAAGUGUAAUCUUGGGGCUUAACCCUGAGCGUGCUUUCGAUACGGGUUGACUUGAGGAAGGUAGGGGAGAAUGGAAUUCCUGGUGGAGCGGUGGAAUGCGCAGAUAUCAGGAGGAACACCAGUGGCGAAGGCGGUUCUCUGGGCCUUUCCUGACGCUGAGGAGCGAAAGCGUGGGGAGCGAACAGGCUUAGAUACCCUGGUAGUCCACGCUGUAAACGGUGGGUACUAGGUGUGGGGUCCAUUCCACGGGUUCCGUGCCGUAGCUAACGCUUUAAGUACCCCGCCUGGGGAGUACGGCCGCAAGGCUAAAACUCAAAGGAAUUGACGGGGCCCCGCACAAGCGGCGGAGCAUGCGGAUUAAUUCGAUGCAACGCGUAGAACCUUACCUGGGUUUGACAUGGAUCGGGAGCGCUCAGAGAUGGGUGUGCCUCUUUUGGGGUCGGUUCACAGGUGGUGCAUGGCUGUCGUCAGCUCGUGUCGUGAGAUGUUGGGUUAAGUCCCGCAACGAGCGCAACCCUUGUUCACUGUUGCCAGCACGUCAUGGUGGGGACUCAGUGGAGACCGCCGGGGUCAACUCGGAGGAAGGUGGGGAUGGCGUCAAGUCAUCAUGCCCCUUAUGUCCAGGGCUUCACGCAUGCUACAAUGGCUGGUACAGAGAGUGGCGAGCCUGUGAGGGUGAGCGAAUCUCGGAAAGCCGGUCUCAGUUCGGAUUGGGGUCUGCAACUCGACCUCAUGAAGUCGGAGUCGCUAGUAAUCGCAGAUCAGCAACGCUGCGGUGAAUACGUUCCCGGGGCU
RNAcentral lists this ribosomal RNA (1346 nucleotides) under uncultured bacterium. RNAcentral's name for it is "bacterial SSU rRNA". It matches the Rfam family "Bacterial small subunit ribosomal RNA", at positions 28 to 1381 of the family's 1533-position model. The record is from RNAcentral.